UCCUCGUUCGAAGAAUCGCAAUCAAAGCUUACAUACCGACAACCUUCUCAAGAUGGUUUGUCAUUGUACACACAGCUUUGGGAGAAAGUCCCCGGACGUCCAUCUUCACUGAAGAAUGGGUUACGCGGAAACGCGCCGCCAUAGAAGCACCACCAGCGGCCCAUCCCCCUUCACUUCAACCUCCACCCCUCUCUACCCGUCUGAGGCAUCGUUUGCACUCCUUCUUGGACACGCCGUCUGCUCGGAUCUUGCUGGCUUGGAAGACAUCCUUCACGGGAUGCCUGGCAACAGGGAGCGAGGAUAUGAGCUCUGCUUCCUCGUUCUUCGCAGUGUUUCGCUGCAGUGUGCGGGUCGAGUAGGAGGAGAUGCUGCAGAAUUUGCGGUAGGAAGACAAGGUGGGCUUACAGGUUGUGGGGGUUGGGAUCUUUCGUCGCGGUUAAUAGAUAUGCGAUUGCCAGUCUUUGUCCGCAGACGGAUGGAACGGGUAACUCAAUGGGGCUCAUUCUCGAGGCGAGG
Molecule: non-coding RNA, 516 nt
Organism: Hortaea werneckii EXF-2000
Lineage: Eukaryota; Fungi; Ascomycota; Dothideomycetes; Mycosphaerellales; Teratosphaeriaceae
Source: Rfam